GUUGUAGCUCAGUGGUAGAGUGCUUGCCUAGCAAGUGCGAGGCACUGGGUUCUAUCCUCAGCACGACA
RNAcentral lists this transfer RNA (68 nucleotides) under Marmota monax (woodchuck). Its description in RNAcentral is "tRNA.Ala". Lineage: Eukaryota; Metazoa; Chordata; Mammalia; Rodentia; Sciuridae. The record is from RNAcentral.